UUGAAGCGGUUAAUGGAGGCUUCAAAGAUGCAGCAUCAGAGUCCUUUCGCUGUUGGGUGGGAGACUUGGAGAACAGCUACCACUUGACAGGUUCAGCGGUUGGACCACACCCGUGUCCCACCAUGGUACGUGAAUUUCAGUCAGUGAUUGGGAAAGAAACGAGGAAACAAGCAUGGAAAAAAUGGGGAGGGAAACCAGAUAUUCUUGUGGCUUGUGUAGGGACAGGGUCCAAUGCUGUGGGCCUGUUCCAUGAGUUUGUGGGAGACAAGGAUGUGAGGCUCAUUGGAGUUGAAGCAGGUGGGCUUGGGUUAGAGACUGGAAAACAUUCUUCAACAUUGGCCACAGGGGAAGUGGGUGUUUACCAUGGUGCUAAGAGCUAUUUGAUGCAGGAUCAGGAUGGUCUUCAAAUUAUUCAACCUCACUCCAUUGCACCUGGGUAAUUCAUUCAUUCAUUUAUCGUCUCAUUUACAUCGAUUUGUUCUCCCAAUAAAAUUUUGACAUAUCAACAAAUGGUAGAAUGGAAAAAAUAAGACAGGGAAGAUUUGCGUUCUUAAAUUUCACUUAUUAUUUAUUUUUUUUCUAUUAAUAUUUAAAAGCAUCUUCUCUUUAUUCUUUUUUUUUUGGUACAUCGGAAAAUUUUCUUCUCUUUAUUCUAUUCAAACUAGAUUUAUUUAAUUUUUUAAAACUCACUUUAUAUCUAUUCCCAAACACAAAUUCCCUUUUUCAAAGUUAAUUAUAUUUCACAACAAAUAUGAAUGUUACUUUUAUCAAACUUUAAGUUUAUCUAACUCUAAAAUAAAAGGACCCUAUAAAAUGUGUAUCCUCCUAACUAAUACGUAGUGAAAGGUUACGCUCAAUGUCUUAAUCCCAUCAAUUCUUUGUCUUUUGAAACAUUACAUCAAUUUCUAAUGUUUGGGACUUUGAUGCAAAACCCCAAGGAAAUAAAUUAGGUUUUAUUUAUAAGCAAUAAAGUAGGAAGUAUUCAAAAUUGAUGUAUGCCUAUUUGAAUUAUUUCUGCCCAACUUAUAAAACUCAACUAACUUAUAGACAGACAUAUAUACCAAACUUCCUAAUUUGUGAAACAAUAGAAAUAUGUAAAAAGGGUUUUUUUUAAGGAUUUAAAAAAGAACAAGUCCUUUAAUUUUAAUUAUAAUCUUAAUUUGUUCCUAAAACCUUUAAUCCAAAAACACACAGCUAAAUAAAAAUGGAUUUACAGGAUGGAGUACCCAGGAGUUAGUCCAGAGUUGAGCUUCCUUAAAGAAAGCGGACGUGCGGAGUUCUACAUUGCAACCGAUCAAGAAGCUCUUCAUGGUAAUUAUAAAAUAUAAAAAGUGUUAUACUAGCAUUUCUCUAAAAUAAAAUAAAAAUAUCUUUUUUUUCUAUUGAGAUAACUUGUAAGCAAACAAGCAUUAAUUAACUAAUAAUUCACUUUUUGCAGCGUAUGAAAGAUUAUGCAAAUUGGAGGGUAUAAUUCCAUCCCUGGAGGCGUCACAUGCAUUGGGUAUAUUGGAGAAGUUGGUCCCUACAUUAUGCAAUGGAACUAAGGUGGUUGUGAAUUGCAGUGGCCGUGGAGAUAAAGAUGCACCUAUUGUCUUCAACUUCA
RNAcentral lists this long non-coding RNA (1603 nucleotides) under Lotus japonicus. RNAcentral's name for it is "long non-coding RNA (LJAP_LNC001596)". The record is from RNAcentral. Lineage: Eukaryota; Viridiplantae; Streptophyta; Magnoliopsida; Fabales; Fabaceae.